AGAGUUUGAUCCUGGCUCAGAACGAACGCGUGGCGGCAGGCUUAACACAUGCAAGUCGAACGGUUGUAGCAAUACAGCAGUGGCGCACGGGUGAGUAACGCGUGGAUAUCUGCCUUUUGGUUCGGAAUAACUCCGGGAAACUGGAGCUAAUACCGGAUGGUUCCUACGGGAUAAAGAUUUAUCGCCAAAAGAUGAGUCCGCGUACGAUUAGCUAGUUGGUGGGGUAAUGGCCCACCAAGGCGACGAUCGUUAGCUGGUCUGAGAGGACGAUCAGCCACACUGGGACUGAGACACGGCCCAGACUCCUACGGGAGGCAGCAGUGGGGAAUAUUGGACAAUGGGGGCAACCCUGAUCCAGCCAUGCCGCGUGAGUGAUGAAGGCCUUCGGGUUGUAAAGCUCUUUUGGCGGGGACGAUGAUGACGGUACCCGCAGAAUAAGCCCCGGCUAACUUCGUGCCAGCAGCCGCGGUAAGACGAAGGGGGCUAGCGUUGUUCGGAAUUACUGGGCGUAAAGCGAGUGUAGGUGGUUGUCAUAGUCAGGUGUGAAAGCCUUGAGCUCAACUCAAGAAAUGCACUUGAUACUGGGCGACUAGAGGACCGGAGAGGAUAGUGGAAUUCCCAGUGUAGUGGUGAAAUACGUAGAGAUUGGGAAGAACACCAGUGGCGAAGGCGGCUAUCUGGACGGUUACUGACACUAAGACUCGAAAGCGUGGGGAGCAAACAGGAUAGAUACCCUGUAGUC
RNAcentral lists this ribosomal RNA (742 nucleotides) under uncultured Azospirillum sp. Its description in RNAcentral is "bacterial SSU rRNA". It matches the Rfam family "Bacterial small subunit ribosomal RNA", at positions 8 to 795 of the family's 1533-position model. The record is from RNAcentral. Lineage: Bacteria; Pseudomonadati; Pseudomonadota; Alphaproteobacteria; Rhodospirillales; Azospirillaceae.